GCUGCGAGCGUUUCCCCAGGGCCUCCGGCUAGUCUAAAAACUCACUUUGGAGGAGAGGAAGGAGCGUGAAGUGGCUCUUUCGAUCUGAGACACCCCCUCCUGGAGAAAUCACCCCCUCCCCCCAGCCCAGCGCGGAGUGAAAUCUUAGAAGCUGCCGCUGCUGGGUUUGAACGGAAUGCCGGAGUCGGUGGAAGCCGGAGCUGGUCCGCCCGAAGGACCUAACACAGUGCCUUGCCCUUAGCAAGCCCUCCAUAAACGCAUGUCAAAAAAGUGGACAAAUAGAGUGGCAGUCUUCUCCAAUCAAGAUCCCUUAAAGAGAGGUUGGACUGGUUGCUGAUGGACGACUUCUAGCGGCGGCAGCAGCAGCGUCUUCAGACACCGUGCGGGGACUCGCUGGCUCUGCGAGGGUCUCUCUUUAUCCCCCAACCACACCUCGCCCACUUGCCAGCGUCAGGAGGAUCUGAGAGUCCGAUAGGGGUCUUGCGCACCCAAGGCCGCUCGCCCCCGUCCGGGUCCUGGUGUGGGCCGCAGGCCGGACGAGGAGGGGAGCCAGGACGCCUCUCCCACUUCCUCCCAUUCCUCCUUUCCUUGCCGCCUGCCCCCCCCCCACCAUUAUUUCCUGCUUCCCCAUCGAAAUCGGGAGGGCCUG
Long non-coding RNA from Lynx canadensis (Canada lynx), 649 nucleotides. RefSeq lists it as uncharacterized. NCBI's taxonomy places the organism in Eukaryota, Metazoa, Chordata, Mammalia, Carnivora, Felidae. The record is from RefSeq and is a predicted model, not a curated record. The transcript has 3 exons.